This is a long non-coding RNA of Mauremys reevesii (Reeves's turtle), 226 nucleotides long. RefSeq lists it as uncharacterized. The transcript has 3 exons. Lineage: Eukaryota; Metazoa; Chordata; Testudines; Geoemydidae. The record is from RefSeq and is a predicted model, not a curated record.
UGGUCAUCUGCAUUAUCCUGGGGGCCCUGCUCUGCCUGGUCUUAAUCAUCCUGGGGGCGCAGGUGCGAAGUGCCAGGGCACAGCGCAGAGGCUCCAGAAGACCCUUGGAUCCCUUCUCUGAGGCCGUGUACGAGGAGAUUGAUUAUAACCUGAUGAGAGAGAAGCAGGAGAUGUUCAGUCGCUCAGUCUCCUAUUCAGAUGACUCAGUGGCAAAGCUGCAGUAUUA